Non-coding RNA from Cyanistes caeruleus (blue tit), 591 nucleotides. The record is from RefSeq and is a predicted model, not a curated record. NCBI's taxonomy places the organism in Eukaryota, Metazoa, Chordata, Aves, Passeriformes, Paridae.
CAGCAAAUUCAGAAUCCUUAGAAAUGCAGAGUGUUUACCCUUUCCUGUGAAAGCUGUGUGCCUUACUAAAGUAGUUACAUCAUUGGCCUCCUCUAGAGAGUCCAGGGUAGCUAGUUUUUGUUAUUAUGAUGAUCAGACACAAAAUAUUUGGAAAUCUACAGUAACACCUUUGGAAGGGCAGUAAAUGAAGAUCUGAAAGCAUCACAAGGGACAUUGACACCUAUAUCUAUAGCAGACCAAAUGGGACUACCCAGCCACCAGUCUCCAGAACAAUCUCAUCAUCAAUCCAUUACAGUGCAGAGAGGAGUGCAAGAGAAGCAAGUAAAACAGUUUUAGCUCCAGUUAAGGAAAGUUAAGCUUCCUGGCAUCUAUUUAUCAACAUUGGACAGAAAGUGACAGAAAGGGUCACAAACAUGGAUAUUACAACCCUUACAUCUUUUGUCUCAUCUGACUAUCCCAGACACCAAAGAAGAGUUAGACAGUCCCUGGGUGAAGGUUCUUUCUCAUACCAUGACUCUCAAGAUCUUGGCUGCACAGAGACUCAGCCGAGGAAAGGAAGGAUAUUUACACUUGGCUGAAGUGCAUUUUCAC